CCUAUGCUUUUACUAGUCUAUGUUUUAGUUUAUAUUUUCUUAUAUUAGCCUAGUUUGUAUUUUAAUUUGCCUUAACCUUCCAUCAGCCGAUAUCCUAGUCUAGAUUUUAUCUUAUGCACUUAGUUUAUCUUUAGACUUUCAUUAGUCUGUAUAUGUUCCUCUUAUGUCUGGGUGCUUGUUAGUUUGUCCUUCAUCUCCAUUCUAUAACUCUACCUAUUAGUCUCUUUACUUUAUUUCCUG
RNAcentral lists this long non-coding RNA (240 nucleotides) under Elaeis guineensis (African oil palm). Its description in RNAcentral is "long non-coding RNA (EGUI_LNC042627)". Lineage: Eukaryota; Viridiplantae; Streptophyta; Magnoliopsida; Arecales; Arecaceae. The record is from RNAcentral.